This 64-nucleotide transfer RNA is filed under the name Albinaria caerulea. RNAcentral describes it as "tRNA-Tyr". The record is from RNAcentral. Lineage: Eukaryota; Metazoa; Mollusca; Gastropoda; Stylommatophora; Clausiliidae.
AUUUUGGCCCUAGAAGCUAGGAUGGUGGUUGUAAACUACUAGUUGAAAUUUAUUUCCCAAAGUA